CCGAUGGAGGGGGAUAACUACUGGAAACGGUAGCUAAUACCGCAUAACGUCGCAAGACCAAAGAGGGGGACCUUCGGGCCUCUUGCCAUCGGAUGUGCCCAGAUGGGAUUAGCUAGUAGGUGGGUAACGGCUCACCUAGGCGACGAUCCCUAGCUGGUCUGAGAGGAUGACCAGCCACACUGGAACUGAGACACGGUCCAG
RNAcentral lists this ribosomal RNA (201 nucleotides) under uncultured bacterium. RNAcentral describes it as "partial 16S ribosomal RNA". It matches the Rfam family "Bacterial small subunit ribosomal RNA", at positions 130 to 334 of the family's 1533-position model. The record is from RNAcentral.